Molecule: long non-coding RNA, 497 nt
Organism: Zophobas morio
Lineage: Eukaryota; Metazoa; Arthropoda; Insecta; Coleoptera; Tenebrionidae
Exons: 6
Source: RefSeq, a predicted model, not a curated record
UGUUAAUGCUCUUAAAGUUUCCUUAAAUAAAUUCAAAAACCAAUACGCUAAAAUAAAUUUACUUCAUUGUUCUGUUGGAGAUGUUUCACAAAACCACGUGGAACUUGCGGUUGCUGCUAAAGCCACUCUCAUCGCGUUUAACGUUAAUAUCGAUAAAAAGUUGCAGUCUUUGAUCAAAAAAAAUAACGUGGAAGUUUUGAACUCUAACAUUAUAUAUAAUAUUAUUGAUGCCGUCACUCAGAAGUUUCAAGAAGCAAUGCCAGUCUUAGAAAAAAAAGUUCUUACAGGCUCUGGAAUAAUAAAAGAGAUCUUUAAACUCCACGGAAAAAAUGCAAACAUUGUAGCUGGCUGUAGUGUAAACAGCGGCUACUUUAUAAGUGACGGCUUAUACGUAAUAAAACGGGGCACUCUUAUUAUAUUCGAAGGAAGGCUUAUUAGUUUAAAACAUUUCAAAUCAGAAGUUUCUAAAGUUAAUACUGGUAAAGACUGCGGUCUAC